UACUCUAAUUGUAGAGGUGUUUGUUGCUCUGUUUUGAAGGUAGCUUCCUCAAGCUAUUGUUGCUGGCUUUUGAAAGAAGAAGUGCUUCCUUGGUACAUAUGCUUCCCAUUGAUGUAACUCAUGUAGAAUUGCAUUGCUCGCCUUCAGCUUCCCCCUUCCUUGACUUCACAACACAACUUUGUUCAUCUCAAAGGGUAAGUAAGCACUCUGCAAAAUGAAAACAAAAUCUUUAAUGAAAGAAGAGUAGAUUUAAAUGCAUAUAUAAAAAUAGAUCACUCUUAAGAUGCUGAAAAAGAGAUGCACAAAAACAAAGAAAGUAGAAACAAACUUAGCUUUUAAAAAUCUACAAUUUUAAAAGACUUUAGUAAGCAUCUUUUAAGCUUACUAGAAUCUGAAAACUUUCAACUAUUAACUAGACUUAGCUAAGUAAAAAUUAUUAUCAAAGUCUAACUUUUAAAGUAAAAAGAUCUGCAAACACAAUUGGUAAAUGGAUUAGAUUGGCAAAAGGGAAUAAUUAAUUUAAAAACAAGUCACAUACCUAUUACAAGAAGCAUCGUUCAAACAUAAACCAUGAAAUCUGAUACCUCUUUCCCUUGCAAAAACAACAAGGCAAUUCUUGUUUCCAAAAUCAAACCCAACUACACUCAUUAUCACGCUUUAGUGUUCUUCCCCAUGUAACUGAUAGCAACCUUACAAAUCGAUGGAAAAACAAAAAUUUAUGAGAUUUAACAACUAUGAAAUAGCAACUAAAAGAAACAAAAAAUCAGAGUAGUCUUCAGCUCAAACCAGAAGCUUAGAUUCCAAUCACCAGUAAUGUAGACCAAACCUACAAAGAAUCUCAAAAUCAGAUCAAACCUACAAAGAAAAUACCUACAACUUUUCCUUCGGCGUGUUUUUGGUAGGAAUUUUUCCUACCAAAAUCUUAUCAUAUCCGAUUUCCUACGGGCGAUUUCCUACCAUUUUAGUGGUAGGAUUAUCGUAAAAAUUUGUUCUUUCCUACCACUUUUUCACGUUACUGGUUGUAGGAAAUCGAUGUUUUUCUUGUAGUGCUAUAAAAAAUCAUAUGUACGAAAAAGAGAAGCUACAGAUCUAGAAUAUCAACAACAAGAGCUUCAAAAUCAAACCUGGAUCGUUAGAGGGGUUCGCGUUCUGGAUCUUCAAUUCACAACAGAGGAUACUAGACCAUGGGUGGUAGGUGGAAGCGGAGAUUGGUGACAGAGGCGAGAUAGAGCUAAGGAGCGCCUAAGGUUUGUCGAGAGAAGAAGAAAAGAGAGAGAGAGAGAGAGAUUAGGCGAUUAGAAUUUAUAGACUUGAAGUAGAAAAGAGAUUAGGGAUCAAAAUAAAA
This 1345-nucleotide long non-coding RNA is filed under the name Capsella grandiflora. RNAcentral describes it as "long non-coding RNA (CGRA_LNC000437)". Lineage: Eukaryota; Viridiplantae; Streptophyta; Magnoliopsida; Brassicales; Brassicaceae. The record is from RNAcentral.